UUUUCCGUGCUGGACCUGUAAAAGUUCCCUUGGAAUAAGACGUCAUAGAGGGUGAAAAUCCCGUACUUGAUGUGGCCGCCCAGUGCUUUGUGAUACACUUUCCAUGAGUCGAGUUGUUUGGGAAUGCAGCUCAAAAUGGGUGGUAAAUUCCAUCUAAAGCUAAAUAUUGGGGAGAGACCGAUAGCGAACAAGUACCGUGAGGGAAAGAUGAAAAGCACUUUGGAAAGAGAGUUAAAUAGUACGUGAAAUUGUCGAAAGGGAAGCGCUUGAAGUUAGACAUGCUAGUUGGAAUUCAGCCUUGCUUUUGCUUGGUGCAUUUUCCGGUUAGCAGGCCAGCAUCAGUUUUGCCUGUCGGAUAAGGGUAGGAGGAAUGUGGCCCCUCGGGGUGUUAUAGCCUCUUACUGGAUACGACGGGUGGGACUGAGGACAGCAGUGCGCCUUUAUGGCGGGCCUUCGGGCACCUUCGCACUUAGGAUGCUGGCGUAAUGGCUUUAAGCGACC
Molecule: ribosomal RNA, 501 nt
Filed under: Jaminaea sp. DMKU-SP262
Lineage: Eukaryota; Fungi; Basidiomycota; Exobasidiomycetes; Microstromatales
Description: LSU rRNA
Rfam family: Eukaryotic large subunit ribosomal RNA
Source: RNAcentral